Molecule: small RNA, 45 nt
Filed under: Soonwooa buanensis
Lineage: Bacteria; Pseudomonadati; Bacteroidota; Flavobacteriia; Flavobacteriales; Weeksellaceae
Description: Acido-Lenti-1 RNA
Rfam family: Acido-Lenti-1 RNA
Source: Rfam by way of RNAcentral
CAUAGGACUUCAUCCUAUGCUAAAUUAAAUCGUUCCUUCGGAACU